UCCUCCUUCAGCCGACCGUAGCAUCCUCCUCCUGACUGACACCUAAGCUGGGGGGGAGCGGACAUGUUAGACAGUAAUGAUCCCCUAACGUGAUCCUCACGUCCACAGGCGGCUCCUUCUUUGGGUUCGGUGACGUGCAACCUGAGUACAGCCAGCUCCUCCCACGUGCCACCCGAAAUCAUGAGCGACGCGCGGGGCGGCCAAUGCGCUCCUCCGCGCGGAGGACGGGAAGCAGUCGGAGAAGCUGAUUGGUGCGAGUUGAGAGAGCCUCCUUCUCACCUUUAACGACAAUGCAGACCUCGGGGAACAUCGACAUGUAGGUCGAGACGAAGGCGACUGUGUGACUAAAGAAACACACGUUCUUAAUCCCACAUGAACUUUCAGCCUGUUCCAUAUCGUGGAAACACUUUGAAGGGAGUUGAGACUUCAACUGAAUCCCCUGAAUUAUUUCUUGAAGGUGUUCCCGACCGAGCAGAUAUGUGUGUGUGUGUGUGUGUGUGUGUG
Long non-coding RNA from Cottoperca gobio, 504 nucleotides. RefSeq lists it as uncharacterized. The transcript has 3 exons. The record is from RefSeq and is a predicted model, not a curated record. NCBI's taxonomy places the organism in Eukaryota, Metazoa, Chordata, Actinopteri, Perciformes, Bovichtidae.